Molecule: long non-coding RNA, 4107 nt
Organism: Cygnus olor (mute swan)
Lineage: Eukaryota; Metazoa; Chordata; Aves; Anseriformes; Anatidae
Exons: 4
Source: RefSeq, a predicted model, not a curated record
GGGGAGCAGCUGCUGGGAGUUAACCCCUUCUGGGCUGUGAGAAGCAGGGCAGGAGGAGCGGAUGUCGGGCCUGAGCGUGGCCGUGGGGGGGUCCUGUGCCGGGGGUGCAUGCUGGGACACCCCCCGUGUGCUGCAGGGCGCCUGGGCACCAAGUGCAGAGGGCAUUGGCUUCGCAGGGACACGCUGCGUGCACGGAUGGCGAGAGGUUUUAUGGGGAUUUGCUCUGCCUCCUAGGCAAGGCCUGAAUUUGCAGUUUGCUUUGGGACACAGCUGCAGGGGAUGCUGCACUUGGCUUCUGAGGAGCAGCCCGGAGAUAAGGGGUGAGAAGGGGAGGCCAGCCGCUGCCUAGCAGAGAGGGCUCAGCCACACGCCGUUGAUCUGGCUAGCACAUUUUUGCUUGAAGACAGAUGUCUGGGCAACACCCUUGCAAAGAAGACAGCUCCUAACAACUCCUACAGUCCUGCCAGCCUUUAUGGCACCUUUGCAAGGCUUUAGGGGCUGCUCAAAAAGACUGACAUUUCUGCCACUGCGAGUGCCCUGGCUCGCUAAGCUCCCGCAAUGCCCUGUGCCCCCCAGGGUGACCCGCCGGCUGACCUGCUGGGGCUGGCACAGACGUGGAAACAUCUACCUGGCUCCUGGGAGUGGGGCAGGCAGCGACGGGACAGCGACAGCUCCUCGAGCUGCGUCCCUCCUGAACUGCAGGCCGCCUGCUCCCGCUGCGGCUCUGCCCACAGACCCCCUCCAAGCUCCUGACACCAAAGUGGAGCUGACAGGGAGACUUGACAGACAAAAUAACAGCAGCCAGAGCAAUUGCUGUCUCCCGAGGAGGUGUUUAUAAUGCGAGGAACCCCUGAAGGGAUCUGAGCAGGAAUGGGAACAGAAGCUCUUUUGCUUGGGCUGAGCUCCUGCCUGCGAGCCGGAGCGUGGAGCCCAGCCAGCGCGGCCGCUCUGCCCGCACCGCCCGGGGCAGGGGGAGCGGGGCUGGCAGCAGCUCCUGCGGCUCAGCAGCGCCUGCAGCCUGUGCUGCCGUGCCAGAAAAGCCUCUCCUCGCCUGUCAGGCAAGUGCCUCGUCUCUGCGAGCCCAGCUCCGACUCCUGCCCGUUCUCCUCAUCCUCUUUGUCCCCCCCCUUCCUAUCCCAAAGCUCUCUCUGCCUGUUUUCCCCAGCCUGCAAGACCUUCGGGGCAGGGGAUGAGCCUCCCCCCAGGCUCCACGAAGCCACCCCGUGGUGCAGGGGUUCAGCUCUGAUGGAUCUCAGCGUGCGCCUCAGCACCGCGUCCUUGCCGCCCGCAGCUCCGGCAGUGGCAACCGCGCUUGCUUUCCCCGCAACCAGCUAAUCCCGCUAGGCAGCAGGGGCAGGGUGACAAAUUAUUCUGACUAAUAGUCUAAACAAUGUGGAACAACGGAAGUCAGGGAGCAGCACAUAAAAUAUGCAGCACACAGGGGGCUGGGCUAUUUUAUUUGAUUAUCAGAUGGGUAUUCCAGUGCCGGGAUCCAUCAGGAGCAGAACAACGCAUGUCCGACUCAAUAACAUCUCAGGAGGGGCGGUGGGGGCUGCAGGAGCUUCUUCCUGGGUGCAGCUGGGCAGCCUAGCCCCAAGUGAAUGGCAUGUGACAAUGGGACACCUCUCCCUGGUACAUGGGGGCUUCCGUGGCAUCUCCCCACGGAGAGGGGGUGCGAGGGUCUGACCCUGUCCCAGGGCUACCCGAAGGGGCCGGGCAGACAGGGCCCAGCAGAGGAUGUGUUCGAGCACACAGGGCAGGCUUGCUGUCAUCUCUUUGAAAUUCCUUUGCAUUCGGAGUCAUUCUGAAAGCCAAAAGCUGUUAGUUUCCCCAGGAUGCCCAGGGAGGGUUAUUGACUGGGUUUGCUCUGAUGAUAUUUCUCUGCACAGCUGUUCAUGCCAUCAGCAGCGGGGUUUCUCUUUAAAAAGAAGAUACUUUAUCCAUUAAAAAGAAAUCUGUAAAUGAUGGAUAUGUAUUCAGCCUAAGACUGAGUGAUGAAAUCCUCUCAGAGGUGCAAGGAUCCAGCUCUCUGCCUGUCCCCGACCCCUGCCAGCUCUCGUGGAGGCUGCGCGGCUCUCGGAAAGCCUCGGGGCCGGCAGCAUUGUGCAGGGCUCAGGCCAGGAAGUUUUCUCUCCCAAGGCUCCUUUCACUUCCCGUGUCAGAGCAGGGCAGGAAUGCUGUGAGAACAACCCCUCAGGAGCUGUUUGGAGACUUGUGCUUCCAGCUGGAGAAGAAAGCGUAGGGUCAGCAGAAGGGGAGGUGGAAGAGCUGGCGGCGGGGAGGAGCGAGCGCUGCUCUCUGCCCUCCGUGAGGGGCCCCGCUCCCCCUUGCCCACCCGGAGCAGAGAGCUGCUCGGGCUGUCACGGCGCUGUGUUCUCCUGGCUGGGUCCUGGGCCCUGGGAACACGCUGUUCCCGAUGUCCUGCAGCCUGCCUGGGGGCACACGGGCAGCGGGGUGCCUGCGCUGCCUACCCCAGAGCCGGUGCUGGCAGCCUGCAGGGCAGGGCGAGUCUGCUCCUGGCACACGGGGGCUGCACAAGGAGGUGGCUCCGGAGGGAUGCAGGAGGUCUGAUGCCAUGCACAGGCACGGGGGCUUCUUGACUCCCAUCACUCCUGCCUCAGAGUCUCAGGGAGACCAUCUGUGGGAUCUAACACCUUCCUCCCCCCACCCCAAAGGGUGCUAUUUUAUUCCCAUUGCCAUAACUUGGCCUUUUAAAGUCUGUUGCUUCGUUCAUGGGAUAAAUGCAAGUGACCUGAACCUCACAUGCCCAAUUGGCACGCAACGCCUCCUUUCUUGUUUUAUACUCCUCGAGUUCUCAUUUAUUUUUGAGCUAGGUCAUUUAUAUUGUAUGGAAGUAUGUGCCCUAGAGCUGGCAGGAGCACCAGCUGUGCUCGGCAUGCCCUGCUGCUAGCAGUUGUGCCAGAACCGAUGGUGACAGUGGCAACGCAAGAGUCUCGGUUUGACCACCACCCACUCUUGUUGCCACCUCCUAAGAGACAAAAAGGAAAUGCCACAGCUCCUGCGGUUCCUCCUACCUGGGAUCGACUCACCUGGUCGGCCAGGUCGGGAGUCUGCGUGGCUGAAGCACGGGGAGGAGAAGGCAGAGACAAAGGGGACACGGAGAGAAGCAGGCAGAGAGCAGCAAGUCAAAUCGCAGGGGCAGGAGGGUGAUUUCUCUGCUGAAAUUGGGAAGGAGGGCUCAAAGUUCGUCCCUGUCUGCGCCUGAUGCAAAUCUGCUCGCCGGAGGAUGUUGGGAGAGCAAAGCAUUGCUCCCAAUACCACAGAUGUGACAUAACCUGCCGCAGCCGGAGCCGUCGGUGCACAGCCAGCAGAAGCAAGGGCUUGGAGAAGCCACUCUUUGGCUGCUGGUGGCCCUGCCCGAGGCUCUGGCACUGCCAAGAAUUUCAGAUCCCAAAGCACAGCCGUCCAGAGACCAGCCUUGGAGCAGCUUCUGACAGCGUGAGGACCACAAAGGAAACGCUUUUGGGUUUUCUCAGGACUGCCCAUGACAAAUGCCUUCGUGGUCCUCAGCAUGGCCUCUGUAAGUACCCGCAGCAACCACCACGUGCUGCCCAGGCAGCGUCCAGCUGGGUCUGAAGCCUCGGAGGACAUCCUUUGGCUGGGAUCUCAGCAGGCUCCUGUCCUGUGAUAGCCCCAGCGUGGUGGGGAGAAGUCUGCCUUCUGCUGGGAUUUCCGAAGCCUUCCUUCUGCCGGGCACGGUGACCCCUGUGCGGAGGGGCUAAAUGCCUGCUCGCCCCUGGGCUCUUGCUGGAGCCAGGCUCUCUUCCUUCCAUCCGAUCUCUUCAGCACCCAUCUUGCAUUGAAUGCAUUUAAGGAUAGAAGAUAUCACGGUUUGCCAAUUCAUUUGGGAUUUUUAUUGAAAAUGAGGAGGUGGGAUGAGAUUUACUGAUUUGAGGUGGAUACAAGGCAUCAGUGGAUUUCUUUUUCCCCAACAGAGCAGCAAAUGUGGUUUAGUGGGCACAGGCAGGAGAGCUGGUUCUAGGAGUUUUGCUUGUGUAGUCUAGAAAAAUACAGAGGCUAAGAGGUUUGUACGCUGGGGAGGAAACACCCGGGAAUGUAAGGAACUCUUUAAGCGAGAGGACACCG